Molecule: microRNA precursor, 61 nt
Filed under: Propithecus coquereli (Coquerel's sifaka)
Lineage: Eukaryota; Metazoa; Chordata; Mammalia; Primates; Indriidae
Description: miRNA (ENSPCOG00000001084.1)
Source: RNAcentral
UGAGCCUGGAAGAUGGAGGUUGCAGUGAGCUGAGAUCACGCCACUGCACUCCAGCCUGGGC